Molecule: ribosomal RNA, 497 nt
Filed under: uncultured bacterium
Lineage: Bacteria
Description: partial 16S ribosomal RNA
Rfam family: Bacterial small subunit ribosomal RNA
Source: RNAcentral
GAUGAACGCUGGCGGCGUGCCUAAUACAUGCAAGUCGAGCGAACAGACGAGGAGCUUGCUUCUCUGAUGUUAGCGGCGGACGGGUGAGUAACACGUGGAUAACCUACCUAUAAGACUGGGAUAACUUCGGGAAACCGGAGCUAAUACCGGAUAAUAUUUUGAACCGCAUGGUUCAAUAGUGAAAGACGGUCUUGCUGUCACUUAUAGAUGGAUCCGCGCUGCAUUAGCUAGUUGGUAAGGUAACGGCUUACCAAGGCGACGAUGCGUAGCCGACCUGAGAGGGUGAUCGGCCACACUGGAACUGAGACACGGUCCAGACUCCUACGGGAGGCAGCAGUAGGGAAUCUUCCGCAAUGGGCGAAAGCCUGACGGAGCAACGCCGCGUGAGUGAUGAAGGUCUUCGGAUCGUAAAACUCUGUUAUUAGGGAAGAACAAAUGUGUAAGUAACUGUGCACGUCUUGACGGUACCUAAUCAGAAAGCCACGGCUAACUACGUG